GCCUGACUUUUGAGUGUUUGGUGAGCAGACCGGCUAGCUACUAGUGUGAACCAGAUACCCUGGUAGAAGUGUGGAGUUUUGUGCACAUACACUGCCUGCCUGAUAUUGUGCUUUGCCCCAUGUGCUUGCUUAUGAAAGGUGUUGCCAGCUGUCUAAUAAAUAAGGAGUGAGCUCUU
This is a long non-coding RNA of Entelurus aequoreus (snake pipefish), 176 nucleotides long. RefSeq lists it as uncharacterized. Lineage: Eukaryota; Metazoa; Chordata; Actinopteri; Syngnathiformes; Syngnathidae. The record is from RefSeq and is a predicted model, not a curated record. The transcript has 3 exons.